AGGCGUGGUUCAAUGGUAGAACAGUGGUCUCCAAAACCAUUAACGAGGGUUCGAUUCCUUCCGCCUC
This 67-nucleotide transfer RNA is filed under the name bovine gut metagenome. It matches the Rfam family "tRNA". From Rfam's summary of the family: Transfer RNA (tRNA) molecules are approximately 80 nucleotides in length. Their secondary structure includes four short double-helical elements and three loops (D, anti-codon, and T loops). The record is from RNAcentral.